RNAcentral lists this ribosomal RNA (301 nucleotides) under uncultured bacterium. RNAcentral's name for it is "partial 16S ribosomal RNA". It matches the Rfam family "Bacterial small subunit ribosomal RNA", at positions 509 to 807 of the family's 1533-position model. The record is from RNAcentral.
CAGUAGCCACGGUAAUACGGAGGGUGCAAGCGUUAAUCGGAAUUACUGGGCGUAAAGCGCACGCAGGCGGUCUGUCAAGUCAGAUGUGAAAUCCCCGGGCUUAACCUGGGAACUGCAUUUGAAACUGUCAGGCUGGAGUCUUGUAGAGGGGGGUAGAAUUCCAGGUGUAGCGGUGAAAUGCGUAGAGAUCUGGAGGAAUACCGGUGGCGAAGGCGGCCCCCUGGACAAAGACUGACGCUCAGGUGCGAAAGCGUGGGGAGCAAACAGGAUUAGAUACCCGAGUAGUCCCUGUCUCUUAUAC